This 96-nucleotide transfer RNA is filed under the name Xylaria arbuscula. Its description in RNAcentral is "tRNA-Lys". It matches the Rfam family "tRNA". From Rfam's summary of the family: Transfer RNA (tRNA) molecules are approximately 80 nucleotides in length. Their secondary structure includes four short double-helical elements and three loops (D, anti-codon, and T loops). The record is from RNAcentral. Lineage: Eukaryota; Fungi; Ascomycota; Sordariomycetes; Xylariales; Xylariaceae.
GCCCUGGUAGCUCAAUUGGUCAGAGCGUCGGACUUUUACAACCCAUCUGCGUUCUGAGCGAUCCGAAGGCUGCGGGUUCGACCCCCGCCUGGGGCG